ACCUACGGGAGGCAGCAGUGGGGAAUUUUGGACAAUGGGCGAAAGCCUGAUCCAGCAAUGCCGCGUGAGUGAAGAAGGCCUUCGGGUUGUAAAGCUCUUUUGUCAGGGAAGAAACGGUGAAAGCUAAUAUCUUUUGCUAAUGACGGUACCUGAAGAAUAAGCACCGGCUAACUACGUGCCAGCAGCCGCGGUAAUACGUAGGGUGCAAGCGUUAAUCGGAAUUACUGGGCGUAAAGCGUGCGCAGGCGGUUUUGUAAGUCUGAUGUGAAAUCCCCGGGCUCAACCUGGGAAUUGCAUUGGAGACUGCAAGGCUAGAAUCUGGCAGAGGGGGGUAGAAUUCCACGUGUAGCAGUGAAAUGCGUAGAUAUGUGGAGGAACACCGAUGGCGAAGGCAACCCCCUGGGUCAAGAUUGACGCUCAUGCACGAAAGCGUGGGGAGCAAACAGGAUUAGAUACCCGAGUAGUCCCAUGA
RNAcentral lists this ribosomal RNA (472 nucleotides) under uncultured organism. Its description in RNAcentral is "partial 16S ribosomal RNA". It matches the Rfam family "Bacterial small subunit ribosomal RNA", at positions 337 to 800 of the family's 1533-position model. The record is from RNAcentral.